This 255-nucleotide ribosomal RNA is filed under the name uncultured bacterium. RNAcentral's name for it is "partial 16S ribosomal RNA". It matches the Rfam family "Bacterial small subunit ribosomal RNA", at positions 524 to 776 of the family's 1533-position model. The record is from RNAcentral.
UACAGAGGGGGCAAGCGUUGUUCGGAAUUACUGGGCGUAAAGGGCGCGUAGGCGGCCUGUUAAGUCGAACGUGAAAUCCCCGGGCUCAACCCGGGAACUGCGUCCGAUACUGGCAGGCUUGAAUUCGGGAGAGGGAUGUGGAAUUCCUGGUGUAGCGGUGAAAUGCGCAGAUAUCAGGAGGAACACCGGUGGCGAAGGCGGGUCUCGUGGGCCGAUGACUGACGCUGAGGAGCGAAAGCGUGGGGAGCGAACAGG